This 497-nucleotide ribosomal RNA is filed under the name uncultured bacterium. RNAcentral describes it as "partial 16S ribosomal RNA". It matches the Rfam family "Bacterial small subunit ribosomal RNA", at positions 28 to 507 of the family's 1533-position model. The record is from RNAcentral.
GAUGAACGCUGGCGGCGUGCCUAAUACAUGCAAGUCGAGCGAACAGACGAGGAGCUUGCUCCUCUGACGUUAGCGGCGGACGGGUGAGUAACACGUGGAUAACCUACCUAUAAGACUGGGAUAACUUCGGGAAACCGGAGCUAAUACCGGAUAAUAUAUUGAACCGCAUGGUUCAAUAGUGAAAGACGGUUUUGCUGUCACUUAUAGAUGGAUCCGCGCCGCAUUAGCUAGUUGGUAAGGUAACGGCUUACCAAGGCAACGAUGCGUAGCCGACCUGAGAGGGUGAUCGGCCACACUGGAACUGAGACACGGUCCAGACUCCUACGGGAAGCAGCAGUAGGGAAUCUUCCGCAAAGGGCGAAAGCUUGACGGAGCAACGCCGCGUGAGUGAUGAAGGUCUUCGGAUCGUAAAACUCUGUUAUUAGGGAAGAACAAAUGUGUAAGUAACUAUGCACGUCUUGACGGUACCUAAUCAGAAAGCCACGGCUAACUACGUG